RNAcentral lists this ribosomal RNA (467 nucleotides) under uncultured bacterium. RNAcentral's name for it is "partial 16S ribosomal RNA". It matches the Rfam family "Bacterial small subunit ribosomal RNA", at positions 28 to 507 of the family's 1533-position model. The record is from RNAcentral.
GAUGAGCGCUGGCGGCGCGCCUAACACAUGCAAGUCGAACGAUUAAAGCACCUUCGGGUGUGUAUAAAGUGGCGAACGGCUGAGUAACACGUGGGCAACCUGCCCCUCUCAUUGGGAUAGCCACGGGAAACCGUGGAUAAUACCGAAUACUUCGGGACUUCCGCAUGGAAGACUCGAGAAAGCUCCGGCGGAGAGGGAUGGGCCCGCGGCCUGUUAGCUUGUUGGUGGGGUAAUGGCCUACCAAGGCAAUGAUGGGUAGCUGGGUUGAGAGACCGACCAGCCAGAUUGGGACUGAGACACGGCCCAGACUCCUACGGGAGGCAGCAGUGGGGAAUCUUGCACAAUGGGCGAAAGCCUGAUGCAGCGACGCCGCGUGCGGGAUGAAGGCCUUCGGGUUGUAAACCGCUUUCAGCAGGGACGAGGCGAAAGUGACGGUACCUGCAGAAGAAGCCCCGGCUAACUACGUG